RNAcentral lists this ribosomal RNA (263 nucleotides) under uncultured bacterium. RNAcentral's name for it is "partial 16S ribosomal RNA". It matches the Rfam family "Bacterial small subunit ribosomal RNA", at positions 15 to 253 of the family's 1533-position model. The record is from RNAcentral.
GAUCCUGGCUCAGGAUGAACGCUAGCUACAGGCUUAACACAUGCAAGUCGAGGGGCAUCAGUUUGGUUUGCUUGCAAACCAAAGCUGGCGACCGGCGCACGGGUGAGUAACACGUAUCCAACCUGCCUCAUACUCGGUGGAUAGUCCUUUACGAAAGAAAGUAUUAAUAUCCGAUAGCAUAUUACUUUCCCGCAGUUGGGUUUUAUUAAUUAAAAGUAAAAUUCGGUAUGAGAGUGGGGAUGUCGUUCCAUUUAGUUUUGGGG